GAAUUGAACGCUAGCUACAACGCUGGUAGUGUAGUAGUGGUGGGUUGAGCUAGUAGUCCUCUUCUCCCUCUUCCUACUUCUUCGACUUUCCACCCCCUCCAUUGACCACAGCUAGUUCUUUUCCUCUCUCUCUCUCUCUUACUAUUUCUCUCUUUUUCUUAUUGGCACUAGCAGAGGCAUUGUAAAGCCGAGAAGCAAGCAGUCCACCAGUCUCUGACAGUUCGGUCGAGCGUUCAGUGUGCGCGUAAUCGCGAAACAUUUUGCCUGUUUAGUGCGCUUGCUUGUGCUGGCUAAAGGAGUUACGAAAAAUAAAAUACGUUAACUACAUAAUCACGAGGAGCGGAGGAAGAACCCAGACUGUUGCCGCCGUCUUCUUCGAAACAUAAUUUAAUAUACAAGGAAUAAGAAGCUCACAAAGAAAAAGAAGAAGAAGAAGAAGAUAUCAUCGUACAUCAUUUACUACUACUGGAUAGAAGGAAAUACAAAAAGAAAGAGAAACACAGAGACACAAUAAUAAUAGAUAUAGAAUUAAAAAAAAAAAAAAUUAUAGAAAAAUAAAACAUACCGCAAUAUAAACAAAUCAAAAAGAAUAGUAAGAUAGAUUAAAAUAAUAAGAAGAGAAGAAGAAGAAGAAGAAGAAGAAGAAGAAGAAGAAAAUAAAGUAGGUCUUUUCGUUUAUAAAUAAAAAGAGCCUGUUGUAUAGGCAACUGUAAUCUCUGAAUGAUCUACGACGCGAUCAAAAGUCGUACGCGAGGUAGCACCGAGAGAAUAAGAAGUAACAACAAUAGUAACAACAGUAUAAGUCAAGAUCGUCGUCGUCGUAAUCCUCGUCGUGGGACGAGAUCAUCCACCUCGUCGUGUUUAAGUUCGUCGUCAAGGUUUUCCUCCUCCUCCUCCUCCUCCUAUUUUAUAUCGUCGACGUUGUUGUCGUCGUCGUCGUCGUCGCCGUCGUCGUCGAAAUCAUCGUCCUCGAGGAGCAACGGGAUCGUUUUAGCGAUCAAUGCGGCAUAGACAAACCGGGGCCGUACUCGCGAGCUUCGAGAAACCUGGGGUACGGCCCCGAUCGAGCUGACUAUAGGGGGAAGUCGUCCCUCGAGGAGGAGAGACGCCAAGGGAGAAGAAAAGCAGCACAACUACGGCGUAGCUUAUUAUUUCUUUUUCCUUUCGUUGGGAGAGGACCAAAAGGGAAAAAGGAACUGCUGCUGUUGCUGCUGUUGCCGCCGCCUGCUGCUUUUCCUCUAGGAGGAUCUUUUGGAUACUAUUGUUAAUAUAAAGGAAAAGCACGCAUGCUUCGAAUUAGUCGAAAUCGGUGAAGAUACCUGAAAGUUAAACAAGUGGAAGAAGAGGAAUAGUAUUCAUUUUGAUCUCGAAAGGAGAAACGGCAUAAAGAUGCUCUACGUGUUCCAUGUGGAUACCGGUACCACCAUCACAUUUGAUAUCAACUUGGCCCUGCAAACUGUCGCUCAAUUGAAGGAGGCAAUUGAGAGGGAAUGUGGGGUUAUGGCGUGCCAUCAGGUGCUCCUGAUGAGCGGAGGUGAUAGUUUAGAACCACAUGCCCGUGUGUGUUCUUACUCAGCUGGAACUGAUACAAAUCCGAUUUAUUUAUUCAGUAAGGCUAUCAUCGAAAGCAACGUUCAACCAACACCAAGCAUAGACUACGGUUGCGGUGAGUGAUAAACCUUAUCAUUUGUACAU
This 1695-nucleotide long non-coding RNA is filed under the name Polistes canadensis. RNAcentral's name for it is "uncharacterized LOC106787876". Lineage: Eukaryota; Metazoa; Arthropoda; Insecta; Hymenoptera; Vespidae. The record is from RNAcentral.